UACAUACUCCUUCCGUCCCAAAAUUCUUGUUUUAAAUUUGUCUAAAAAAAGAUGUAUCUAAAUACUAAAACAUGACUAGAUGCAUUCGUAUCUAGACAAAUCUAAGACAAAAAAUUUAAGACGGAGGGAGUAUUGA
This is a non-coding RNA of Hordeum vulgare subsp. vulgare (domesticated barley), 136 nucleotides long. The record is from Rfam. Lineage: Eukaryota; Viridiplantae; Streptophyta; Magnoliopsida; Poales; Poaceae.